Molecule: ribosomal RNA, 706 nt
Filed under: Cellulomonas sp. GN-M06.02
Lineage: Bacteria; Bacillati; Actinomycetota; Actinomycetes; Micrococcales; Cellulomonadaceae
Description: bacterial SSU rRNA
Rfam family: Bacterial small subunit ribosomal RNA
Source: RNAcentral
GCUUGCACCGGGUGAUCAGUGGCGAACGGGUGAGUAACACGUGAGCAACCUGCCCCUGACUCUGGGAUAACUUCGGGAAAUCGGAGCUAAUACCGGAUACGAGACGCACGGGCAUCCGUAGCGUCUGGUAAGAAUUUUGGUCAGGGAUGGGCUCGCGGCCUAUCAGCUUGUUGGUGGGGUAACGGCCCACCAAGGCGACGACGGGUAGCCGGCCUGAGAGGGCGACCGGCCACACUGGGACUGAGACACGGCCCAGACUCCUACGGGAGGCAGCAGUGGGGAAUAUUGCACAAUGGGCGAAAGCCUGAUGCAGCGACGCCGCGUGGGGGAUGAAGGCCUUCGGGUUGUAAACCCCUUUCAGCAGGGAAGAAGCGAAAGUGACGGUACCUGCAGAAGAAGCGCCGGCUAACUACGUGCCAGCAGCCGCGGUAAUACGUAGGGCGCAAGCGUUGUCCGGAAUUAUUGGGCGUAAAGAGCUCGUAGGCGGUUUGUCGCGUCUGCUGUGAAAACCCGAGGCUCAACCUCGGGCCUGCAGUGGGUACGGGCAGACUAGAGUGCGGUAGGGGAGACUGGAAUUCCUGGUGUAGCGGUGGAAUGCGCAGAUAUCAGGAGGAACACCGAUGGCGAAGGCAGGUCUCUGGGCCGCAACUGACGCUGAGGAGCGAAAGCAUGGGGAGCGAACAGGAUUAGAUACCCUGGUAGUCCA